Long non-coding RNA from Cyprinus carpio (common carp), 1113 nucleotides. The record is from Ensembl. NCBI's taxonomy places the organism in Eukaryota, Metazoa, Chordata, Actinopteri, Cypriniformes, Cyprinidae.
GGAAUUGCUCCUGAGGCAACAAAUGACAUGGUAGGGUGUAAACCAGUACCAAAGACCAAGGAUCAUGCCUGAACUGGAGUGAAAUGUACACUGAACAGAGCAUAUGGUGGGCCUCUUCCAGAUCCUCACAUCAUUGCCAGUGCUGAGAAACUUCAAGACAAACGCCCACAACAAAUUGCUGCACGGGCUUGAGGCCCUUAAUUUUGUGGACUCUAAAUUUGGCCCUGUGCCAUUUGGUUCUUUGCUCUCUUACCAGUGCCUUGUCCGUGGAGAGUCUACUGCAAAAUCCUUAGCUGCUCGCAUUCUGAGAGGAACUCCUCAGACAGCUGCUAUGAAAAGAGGGCUGGACCUGGAACCUGUCAUACUGAGGCAAUAUUCAGAGUUUUGUGACGUCUCUGUGACGCAGUGUGGGGUCAUCAUCCACCCUAAUGCACCUCACCUUGCAUCCAGCCCUGAUGCUAAAAUUUGGGUUGGCAGUGGUAAAGAGUUGUGAUGUUGAAGAUGUUGCUCAAGUUAAACACCUGAUCACAGUUCGAGGCCAGGCCUGCCUUAAGAAAAGCCACAAAUAUUAUUAUCAGGUUCAAGGCCAGCUGGCCUUAAGUGGAGUGAUUUUAUAACAGUUACCCACACUGACUUCACAGUUGAAAGAGUAUUUAGGGAUGAGGAGAUCAUAAACUCAAUGCGACAGAAGCUUGAUUAUUUUUAUCACAUCUACAUGGAUGCAUUAUUACGUUGAGGCAGAAUUUUCAAAUGUAAAUAGUUCAAUGUACAUCUUUGAUGCAUAUAAUUACUGUUGUAAAUAUUUUUUCAAUUUACAACUUCAAUCAAUGUUGCACUGUAUGUAAAUAUAUAUGGGCUUUAUUGUCUGUCAUUGGUCACUUUUUGCUUACCGUAUUUUUCGGACUAUAAAUCGCACCUAAGUAUAAGUCGCAUCAGUCCAAAAAUACGUCAUGACGAGGAAAAAAACAUAUAUAAGUCGCACUGGACUAUAAGUCGCAUUUAUUUAGAACCAAGAACCAAGAGAAAACAUUACCAUCUACAGCCGCGAGAGGGCGCUCUAUGCUGCUCAGUGCUCCUGUAAUCUAUCAGAUCGGCUGCAUAUUUUACAGUUUG